RNAcentral lists this non-coding RNA (568 nucleotides) under Pan troglodytes (chimpanzee). Lineage: Eukaryota; Metazoa; Chordata; Mammalia; Primates; Hominidae. The record is from RNAcentral. RNAcentral also lists the same sequence under 1 other name.
AGUAACCAUGAGAGUAUCACAUCCAAAAGAGAGCACAUAGGAAGGUUGGGUGAACUUGAAAUGUUAACAUCUGAGGAACUAUUACAAGGACAAGAGAGGCUCGUUUUACCUGGGGAAGACUCAGACAGCCAUAGAAAGUAUUUUUAGAUAUCUAAAGGCCUGCCAAACAUAGAGGGGAUUACAUGUGUCCAAGUGAGCCCAAAGAGCAGUAGCCCUACUGCGGGAAGAUUGCAAGGAAAGACUUAGACUCAACAUGGAGAAGACUUUGACCAUGCUAGAACAACAGAGGCAGCAGUUGCUUACUGAACGCCAAAACUUCCACAUGGAACAGCUGAAGUAUGCUGAAUUACGAGCACGACAGCAAAUGGAACAGCAGCAGCAUGGCCAGAACCCUCAACAGGCACACCAGCACUCAGGAGGACCUGGCCUGGCCCCACUUGGAGCAGCAGGGCACCCUGGCAUGAUGCCUCAUCAACAGCCCCCUCCCUACCCUCUGAUGCACCACCAGAUGCCACCACCUCAUCCACCCCAGCCAGGUCAGAUACCAGGCCCAGGUUCCAUGAUGCCC